GAAAUGCGAUAAGUAAUGUGAAUUGCAGAAUUCAGUGAAUCAUCGAAUCUUUGAACGCACAUUGCGCCCGCCAGUAUUCUGGCGGGCAUGCCUGUUCGAGCGUCAUUACAACCCUCAGGCCCCCGGGCCUGGCGUUGGGGAUCGGCGGAAGCCCCCUGCGGGCACAACGCCGUCCCCCAAAUACAGUGGCGGUCCCGCCGCAGCUUCCAUUGCGUAGUAGCUAACACCUCGCAACUGGAGAGCGGCGCGGCCACGCCGUAAAACACCCAACUUCUGAAUGUUGACCUCUCAUCAGGUAGGAAUACCCGCUGAACUUAAGC
Molecule: unclassified non-coding RNA, 320 nt
Filed under: plant metagenome
Description: partial contains 5.8S ribosomal RNA, internal transcribed spacer 2, and large subunit ribosomal RNA
Rfam family: 5.8S ribosomal RNA (bases 1-105)
Source: RNAcentral